UUCAUCUUGGAUACACCUGGCCUGUCAGCGACUUCAUUUGAGGCAAAUGUCAUCACAGCAUACACUCUUUCCUGAUACCCUCUGUGACAGCAUCUACCUCAACAGAAGCCUGAUUUUAAACAUAGGUACAAACAUUAAAAAAGAAAGUCUAGGGGCGCCUGGGUGGCGCAGUCGGUUAAGCGUCCGACUUCAACCAGGUCACAAUCUCGCGGUCCGUGAGUUCGAGCCCCGCGUCAGGCUCUGGGCUGAUGGCUCAGAGCCUGGAGCCUGUUUCCGAUUCUGUGUCUCCCUCUCUCUCUGCCCCUCCCCCGUUCAUGCUCUGUCUCUCUCUGUCCCAAAAAUAAAUAAACGUUGAAAAAAAAAAAUUAAAAAAAAAAAAAAAAAAGAAAGUCUAUCCCACCUGCUGUGCUGAGCAAGGGUGGCUUGGACGGGAGCCAGAGAAGUGAGGACUAAUGAUCUGUUUUCCCUUUGUGCCAGCCCCCAGAUAUACAGGUCCCUGAGGCAGCAAGGGCAGAUGAUCCAGGAAUUUGUUAGCGAUGCAAAUUCUCAGGCCCCACCCUAGAACUCCUGACUCUCCGGAAACUCAGGUCAGCCCAGCAAUCUGUGUGUUAAGGAGUUUACCGAGCCCCCCAGCUGAUUCCGGAUGCUCGGUUUGAGAACCACUGCCCCAGGCUCUACCUACACGGUCAAGCCUGCUCAAGCUCCUUUCAGGUUAGGAACCACAGCCUCAUCACAGCCCCCGCGGCGGCUUUCUUCCAUUGCUCUGAGUGGGAAAAUACAAAGCGGACCUUUCCCACUGUAUGAGUUUGCUAGAGCUGCUAUCCCCAAACCCCGAAGACUGGGGCACUUCAACAGCAGAGGCUGGCUUUGUCGCGGUUGUGGAGGUUGGAAGUCCAAGGUCAAGGUAUUGGCACGCUUGGUUUCUUUUGAGGCCGCUCUGGCUUUACAGGCCACCUUCUCCCUAAGCCUCCACGUGGUCUUCCAUCUGUGUCUGUGUCUCAGGGUCCUCUUCUUCUAAGGACAGUAGUCAGAUUGGAUUAGGGCCCAAGCCCCAUCUCCAAAUACAGUCACAUUCGGAGGUGUGAGGGGUUAGGGCUUCAGUUAUGACUUCAGGGGAACAGCAUUCAGCCCAUGACACUCAGAGAAUAAGCGCUGACCGGGCAGCCUUCAGUGACAUUCCUUCGUACCUUUGUCACUGCAGAUACUGCCUCCCUGUCCUGCCACACGCUGACAACAAAACCGGAAGGAGCUCUUUAACUCAGGGCUUUAUCAAGACAAUUAAAAGACUGUAAAUGAUUGAUCUCAUGUAAUUCAGUAAGAAAUGGGCUUUUCAGUUUACGUGGUAUAGUUAUACUUACAUAUAUACAUUUGAAAGGGCUGUGCAGUAAAGUUCCAGUAAAAACACAACCUAAUAAAAAUAGGUAAAUCUUUAAACUAUUGUGGCUA
RNAcentral lists this long non-coding RNA (1446 nucleotides) under Felis catus (domestic cat). RNAcentral's name for it is "lncRNA (ENSFCAG00000049430.1)". Lineage: Eukaryota; Metazoa; Chordata; Mammalia; Carnivora; Felidae. The record is from RNAcentral.